This 392-nucleotide ribosomal RNA is filed under the name uncultured bacterium. RNAcentral's name for it is "partial 16S ribosomal RNA". It matches the Rfam family "Bacterial small subunit ribosomal RNA", at positions 523 to 918 of the family's 1533-position model. The record is from RNAcentral.
AUACGGAGGAUCCGAGCGUUAUCCGGAUUUAUUGGGUUUAAAGGGUGCGCAGGCGGCCAUUUAAGUCAGCGGUUAAAUCGUGGGGCUCAACCCCAUUCUGCCGUUGAUACUGGGUGGCUUGAUUGCGGUCGAGGUUGGCGGAAUUCGUUGUGUAGCGGUGAAAUGCAUAGAUAUGACGUAGAACACCGAUUGCGUAGGCAGCUGACCAGACCGCAAAUGACGCUCAUGCACGAAAGUGCGGGGAUCGAACAGGAUUAGAUACCCUGGUAGUCCGCACAGUAAACGAUGAAUACUUGUUUUCGGCGAUAUAAUGUCGGAGGCAAAGCGAAAGCGAUAAGUAUUCCACCUGGGGAGUACGCCGGCAACGGUGAAACUCAAAUGAAUUGACGGGG